This 303-nucleotide ribosomal RNA is filed under the name uncultured bacterium. RNAcentral describes it as "partial 16S ribosomal RNA". It matches the Rfam family "Bacterial small subunit ribosomal RNA", at positions 507 to 807 of the family's 1533-position model. The record is from RNAcentral.
AGCAGUAGCCGCGGUAAUACGAAAGGGGCUAGCGUUGUUCGGAAUUACUGGGCGUAAAGCGCACGUAGGCGGAUACUUAAGUCAGGGGUGAAAUCCCGGGGCUCAACCCCGGAACUGCCUUUGAUACUGGGUAUCUCGAGUCCGGAAGAGGUGAGUGGAAUUCCGAGUGUAGAGGUGAAAUUCGUAGAUAUUCGGAGGAACACCAGUGGCGAAGGCGGCUCACUGGUCCGGUACUGACGCUGAGGUGCGAAAGCGUGGGGAGCAAACAGGAUUAGAUACCCGCGUAGUCCCUGUCUCUUAUAC